RNAcentral lists this ribosomal RNA (426 nucleotides) under uncultured bacterium. RNAcentral's name for it is "partial 16S ribosomal RNA". It matches the Rfam family "Bacterial small subunit ribosomal RNA", at positions 355 to 774 of the family's 1533-position model. The record is from RNAcentral.
UGGGGAAUAUUGCACAAUGGGCGCAAGCCUGAUGCAGCCAUGCCGCGUGUAUGAGAAGGCCUUCGGGUUGUAAAGUACUUUCAGCGAGGAGGAAGGCGUUGUGGUUAAUAACCGCAGCGAUUGACGUUACUCGCAGAAGAAGCACCGGCUAACUCCGUGCCAGCAGCCGCGGUAAUACGGAGGGUGCAAGCGUUAAUCGGAAUUACUGGGCGUAAAGCGCACGCAGGCGGUCUGUCAAGUCGGAUGUGAAAUCCCCGGGCUCAACCUGGGAACUGCAUCCGAAACUGGCAGGCUAGAGUCUUGUAGAGGGGGGUAGAAUUCCAGGUGUAGCGGUGAAAUGCGUAGAGAUCUGGAGGAAUACCGGUGGCGAAGGCGGCCCCCUGGACAAAGACUGACGCUCAGGUGCGAAAGCGUGGGGAGCAAACA